CCUUCUGUGGCGCAAUGGGCCAGUGUGUCUGGUUGUUAAGAAGGCUGGUGGUUCAAGUCCACCCUGGGAGGG
Molecule: non-coding RNA, 72 nt
Organism: Podarcis lilfordi (Lilford's wall lizard)
Lineage: Eukaryota; Metazoa; Chordata; Lepidosauria; Squamata; Lacertidae
Source: the annotation of a GenBank genome assembly